AUUGUCAAUCCCCAAGAGUUGGGCGUGCAAGGAAGGCUAGGCAGGCCAAGGCAAGUGAAACAAUUCAGUAAUGCCUUGCCGGAAUUCUCUAGAAGGUUGGAGAAGUGCCUAGGACAUGCUGGACACUUGGGGGAAAUUUUUGCUGGCCAAAGUAGUGAGACAAGGCUGCUGGAACGUUCCGGAAUGGUGGGGAAAAUUCUGGGGCGUGCUGGUGGGUGCUGGAGCAUUCAGCAUGCUAGAAUUGGCUAGAAGGAGCUGCUGUAAGGUGCUAGGAAGCUUCCCUUGGACUGACAAAUUGUUGGCAAAUUCUAGAAUUGCCUACAAGGUGCUGGUUACCUACACCAAGUGCUGGAUAACUCUAGACUCUUUCUUAGUGGGCUGUAUGCCUAAGUAAUUGUUGGAGAUGUAUAAAAAAUUCUAGAGAUUUGCUGUACACUACAUGUUUGAGACAAGUUCUCCACUACACAUUUGAGGAGGCGAAUUGCCUAUAAAUAGGGAUGGCUAGAACUUAGAAUGUGUAGUGUGAGAGCGAGUCCUUAAGAGCUCUUUUGUACAACAUUCUACUUGUAAAACUAUUCUUUAU
RNAcentral lists this unclassified non-coding RNA (583 nucleotides) under Hevea brasiliensis (rubber tree). The record is from RNAcentral. Lineage: Eukaryota; Viridiplantae; Streptophyta; Magnoliopsida; Malpighiales; Euphorbiaceae.